CCUACGGGAGGCAGCAGUGGGGGAUAUUGCACAAUGGGGGGAACCCUGAUGCAGCGACGCCGCGUGUGUGAAGAAGCGCCUCGGCGCGUAAAGUCCUGUCAGCAGGGAAGAGAAUGGCGGUACCUGAAGAAGAAGCCCCGGCUAACUACGUGCCAGCAGCCGCGGUAAUACGUAGGGGGCCAGCGUUUUCCGGAUUUACUGGGUGUAAAGGGGGCGGAGACGGCGAUGCAAGUCAGGAGUGAAAGCCCCGGGCCCAACCCCGGGACUGCUCUGGGAACUUCGUUGCUGGAGUGCAGGAGGGGCAGGUGGAAUUCCUGGUGUAGCGGUGAAAUGCGUAGAUAUCAGGAGGAACACCGGUGGCGAAGGCGGCCUGCUGGACUGCAACUGACGUUGAGGCACGAAAGCGUGGGGAGCAAACAGGAUUAGAUACCCUUGUAGUC
This 440-nucleotide ribosomal RNA is filed under the name uncultured bacterium. RNAcentral's name for it is "partial 16S ribosomal RNA". It matches the Rfam family "Bacterial small subunit ribosomal RNA", at positions 338 to 795 of the family's 1533-position model. The record is from RNAcentral.